UACGUAGGGGGCUAGCGUUGUCCGGAAUCAUUGGGCGUAAAGCGCGUGUAGGCGGUCCGGUAAGUCCGCUGUGAAAGUCGGGGGCUCAACCCUCGGAUGCCGGUGGAUACUGUCGGGCUUGAGUACGGAAGAGGCGAGUGGAAUUCCUGGUGUAGCGGUGAAAUGCGCAGAUAUCAGGAAGAACACCGAUGGCGAAGGCAGCUCUCUGGGACGGUACUGACGCUGAGACGCGAAAGCGUGGGGAGCGAACAGG
RNAcentral lists this ribosomal RNA (253 nucleotides) under uncultured bacterium. RNAcentral describes it as "partial 16S ribosomal RNA". It matches the Rfam family "Bacterial small subunit ribosomal RNA", at positions 524 to 776 of the family's 1533-position model. The record is from RNAcentral.